Molecule: ribosomal RNA, 519 nt
Filed under: uncultured archaeon
Lineage: Archaea
Description: bacterial SSU rRNA
Rfam family: Archaeal small subunit ribosomal RNA
Source: RNAcentral
GUAACACCUAGUCAACCUGCCCUGGAGACAUGGACAACCCCGGGAAACUGGGAUUAAUCCGUGAUAGGUCAUCCCAUCUGGAAGGAGGGAUGGCUUAAAGGGGUGCGCGGGCUUCUUCCGUGCAUCCGCUCCAGGAUGGGACUGCGUCCGAUCAGGCUGUUGGCGGGGUAAUGGCCCACCAAACCUGGAACCGGUACGGGCCUUGAGAGAGGUGGCCCGGAGAUGGACACUGAGAGAAGGGUCCAGGUCCUACGGGGCGCAGCAGGCGCGAAACCUUCGCAAUGCGCGAAAGCGUGACGAGGUUAAUCCGAGUGGUCCCCGCUGAGGGGACCUUUUGUCAGCUGUGGAUAGGCGGGCAAAUAAGGGCAGGGCAAGCCUGGCGCCAGCCGCCAAGACAAUACCAGCUCCUCGAGUGGCCGGGGCUAUUAUUGGGCCUAAACGCAUCCGUAUCGGGUUCCGUAAGUCCUCUGUUAAAUCCCAAGGCUCAGGUGUUAACCUGCAGACCAUCCCACAGAGACU